GGAGUAGUCGCGGUAGGUCUAACAGACUCCGCGUACCGAACUUUCUCGGUUCUUCUCACAUUUGAUCCCCCACCGCUUAGCGCAUCUAUAUGUAUCUUACCGAUUUGUUAGGUAGUUCGAUGUUCCAAGUGUUGGUGAAUGGUCGUGCAACUCGUUACCUGUCAAAUGUCAUCUCGAGUCUCCUAGGGUUCACGCGACUACUUGUGUUUUACUUUUUUCAAGUGAUUACUGUUGAAAGUGGACUACGAAAAGGAGCAGCAAAGAUUGAUGCGUCCCUGGGAAGAAGUUGACCCUGAUGAGACGCUAAUUAAUUCAGAUCAAGAUGAGGAUGUUGUGGAAUAUAGAUCUGAAGGAAGUGAUACCGUUCAAGAAGAUGACUCCUCUGACGAUGACAGAAGUCCCGUUAGAACAACAGCUAAAAUUUCAAGAGCUGGAUUUUAAUUGGGCAAAAACAAUGCCACAAAAUGGAACAAGCAUGCUCUAAACCACGCAGUGAUAACUCGAUCCUGAAAUAUAAUAAGUCAACUUCCUGGUACAAAAGGUAUCGCUAAACAGGCAAAAAGUCCUUUGGGGUGCUGGAAUCUCUUCAUCAACGAUGAAAUACUCGAUAUCAAUGUAGAGCUUACAAAUUUCUACAUAGCAACAAAAACUCCUCAGAAUUACAAAAGGGAUAGGGACUGCAUUUUAUCGGCAACAGAUGAAAUUGAAAUAAAAGCCCUUAUUGGUUUACUAUACUUGUCAGGUUUACUGAAAAUCUCCGAGUUGAGCAUUGACGAGAUAUGAGACAGAAAAAGAACCGGAGUAGAAAUGUUCUGGCUCACAAUGAGUAAGCAGCGAUUUCUAUUUCUCUUGAAGCAUUUAGGUGUUGACGAUCGUACUACCAGAGAAGAGAGAAAGAAAACAGAUAAACUAGCGCCGAUUUGAGAAGUCUUUGACUUCUUUACAUCUAAUUUUCGAAACGAAUGCGGAUUUAGACAAUAUAUACCUUCUAAGCCAAACAAGUAUGGGGUAAACGUUUUCUCAUUGGUCGAUUCAAAAAUGUUUUAUACUUUGAGUCUUGAAUUAUAUGUUGGACAACAACCUAGCGGUCCUUUCCAAACAAGCAAUGACGCAUUUCCGGAACAUCAAGAAACCUCACCACUGAUAAUUGGUUUACCUCUGUGCCAUUCGUCGAGCAUUUGCUGAGAGACCAUAAGCUGACUCUUGUCGGAACGAUUUGGAAAAAUAAAAGGGAAAUACCUAAGGAGUUUGUAGAGGUCAAACAUCGUCCAAUAACAUCAAGCCGGCUUGGAUUUGUUUGCACAAUGGCGACUCUAUUGACCCCGUUUCUGGUGAUAAAAACAAACCUGAGAUUAUAACUUCCUAUAAUGGAACGAAAGGAGACGGCGACCAGCUUUGUUCACUGUAUGAUGUUGCACGAAUUACCAGACGCUGGCCCAUGGUUAUUUUUUUUUCAUGCUGUUCAAAAGAGCAUUGCAGAGAGAAACAGUCAGGUUGUCCAUGUUUCUAUUCACCCUGAUCCGAAAUCCGACUAGAAACGGAGAAUAUUUCUAAAGCAAAUAGCACUGACGUUGAUUGAUAAACCUCUGCAAAGACGCUCUUAUCAGAAAAAUGAACCGGAAACCGUCCGUCAAACGCGACAAGAUCUAGCAGGAACCUCUGAGGCUAUAUCCGACGUAAAAGAGAUACCAGAAGGCACUCGAAAAUAUUGUUGGAGGUGUAAAAAUAAAAAUAAGCCUAGGUUCUAUUGUCAGAAAUGUAAAUCUUUUGUUUGUUUGAAGCACGCGAAAAUGUUGUUCUUUCCGUGCACAAAUGCCAUCAU
This is a long non-coding RNA of Dendroctonus ponderosae (mountain pine beetle), 1822 nucleotides long. RefSeq lists it as uncharacterized. Lineage: Eukaryota; Metazoa; Arthropoda; Insecta; Coleoptera; Curculionidae. The record is from RefSeq and is a predicted model, not a curated record. The transcript is spliced from 3 exons.